UACGGAGGGAGCUAGCGUUGUUCGGAAUUACUGGGCGUAAAGCGCGCGUAGGCGGCUUUGUAAGUUAGAGGUGAAAGCCCGGGGCUCAACUCCGGAAUUGCCUUUAAGACUGCAUCGCUAGAAUUGUGGAGAGGUAAGUGGAAUUCCGAGUGUAGAGGUGAAAUUCGUAGAUAUUCGGAAGAACACCAGUGGCGAAGGCGACUUACUGGACACAUAUUGACGCUGAGGUGCGAAAGCGUGGGGAGCAAACAGG
Molecule: ribosomal RNA, 253 nt
Filed under: uncultured bacterium
Lineage: Bacteria
Description: partial 16S ribosomal RNA
Rfam family: Bacterial small subunit ribosomal RNA
Source: RNAcentral